CCUACGGGAGGCAGCAGUGGGGAAUAUUGCACAAUGGGCGAAAGCCUGAUGCAGCAACGCCGCGUGAGUGAUGAAGGCCUUCGGGUCGGAAAACUCUGUCCUCAAGGAAGAUAAUGACGGUACUUGAGGAGGAAGCCCCGGCUAACUACGUGCCCGCAGCCGCGGUAAUACGUCGGGGGCUAGCGUUAUCCGGAUUUACUGGGCGUAAAGGGUGCGUAGGCGGUCUUUCAAGUCAGGAGUGAAAGGCUACGGCUCAACCGUAGUAAGCUCUUGAAACUGGGAGACUUGAGUGCAGGAGAGGAGAGUGGAAUUCCUAGUGUAGCGGUGAAAUGCGUAGAUAUUAGGAGGAACACCAGUUGCGAAGGCGGCUCUCUGGACUGU
This 381-nucleotide ribosomal RNA is filed under the name Clostridioides difficile. RNAcentral's name for it is "bacterial SSU rRNA". It matches the Rfam family "Bacterial small subunit ribosomal RNA", at positions 338 to 737 of the family's 1533-position model. The record is from RNAcentral. Lineage: Bacteria; Bacillati; Bacillota; Clostridia; Peptostreptococcales; Peptostreptococcaceae.